GGUACAAUAGUUGAUUAACAACAUUAAAUUGCAAAUUUAAAGGAGUACAUUGAUACUAGUACCU
This 64-nucleotide transfer RNA is filed under the name Perionyx excavatus (compost worm). RNAcentral's name for it is "tRNA-Cys". The record is from RNAcentral. Lineage: Eukaryota; Metazoa; Annelida; Clitellata; Crassiclitellata; Megascolecidae.